This 725-nucleotide ribosomal RNA is filed under the name Bacillus taeanensis. RNAcentral describes it as "bacterial SSU rRNA". It matches the Rfam family "Bacterial small subunit ribosomal RNA", at positions 52 to 746 of the family's 1533-position model. The record is from RNAcentral. Lineage: Bacteria; Bacillati; Bacillota; Bacilli; Caryophanales; Bacillaceae.
UAAUGCAAGUCGAGCGCGUGAACUAACUGAUCCCUUCGGGGUGACGUUAGUGGAUCGAGCGGCGGACGGGUGAGUAACACGUGGGCAACCUGCCCUGCAGAUCGGGAUAACUUCGGGAAACCGGAGCUAAUACCGGGUAACAAAUGGAAUCGCAUGAUUCCAUUUUGAAAGUUGGGUUUUACCUAACACUGCAGGAUGGGCCCGCGGCGCAUUAGCUAGUUGGUGAGGUAACGGCUCACCAAGGCAACGAUGCGUAGCCGACCUGAGAGGGUGAUCGGCCACACUGGGACUGAGACACGGCCCAAACUCCUACGGGAGGCAGCAGUAGGGAAUCUUCCGCAAUGGACGAAAGUCUGACGGAGCAACGCCGCGUGAGCGAUGAAGGCCUUCGGGUCGUAAAGCUCUGUUGUUAGGGAAGAACAAGUACCGUUCGAAUAGGGCGGUACCUUGACGGUACCUAACCAGAAAGCCACGGCUAACUACGUGCCAGCAGCCGCGGUAAUACGUAGGUGGCAAGCGUUGUCCGGAAUUAUUGGGCGUAAAGCGCGCGCAGGCGGUCUCUUAAGUCUGAUGUGAAAGCCCACGGCUCAACCGUGGAGGGUCAUUGGAAACUGGGGGACUUGAGUACAGAAGAGGAGAGUGGAAUUCCACGUGUAGCGGUGAAAUGCGUAGAGAUGUGGAGGAACACCAGUGGCGAAGGCGGCUCUCUGGUCUGUAACUGACGC